CACUUUUGGUGCCAAAGGCAAUUGCUGUUUUUCAGGGAAAGGACUUUCCAGUGAAACAAACUGAGAAAAAAAUGACUGAGUGGUUGAUCUUCCCUCCACCCAGCAUCAGUGUUUCGUGGCUGUGUGUAGGGACCGCCAAGCAGCGUGAAGCACAGUGUAGGACAGAGGCUCCUCCGGGUGCUGGUGCUCCCACUGACACGGAUGUAAUUCACUUAUUUACAACUGGCCCUUGUCGUUUCACUGCAAGGCUUCUCAUUCAAGAGCUGAUCCUCUCCAUGUCGCUCCUCCUUCCCGAAGCUGGCCUCCUGUUUCAGAAGUCUACAUGUUCUCAUAUUCAGCUGCGUCAGGCAUUUCUGUAA
RNAcentral lists this long non-coding RNA (359 nucleotides) under Calidris pugnax (ruff). RNAcentral describes it as "lncRNA (ENSCPUG00000003452.1)". Lineage: Eukaryota; Metazoa; Chordata; Aves; Charadriiformes; Scolopacidae. The record is from RNAcentral.